UUCAUAAGGUAUGAGGACAAGCUGAGGAUGUCAGCAUGAAAACAAUUUUUUGCAGAAAAAAGUGACAGGGGUAAGAAGAAGCAGUCAGAUCUGUGUGUGCCCAGGUGUUUGGAGGAAGUAAGGAGCUGGCAGGUCUGUGGUCUGUGAACACACAGGUGGAUCCAAGUUAUUGUCUGGGGUGAUGAUGUCAUGGCUGGGAAAUGGACCUGAAAACUGGAUCAGGUAUAGAUUUUGCCAAAAUUUAUGGAUACAUGUGAACAUAUGCUCUACCUAACAGGACCUGGCCUAUAUCUAGGUUUUGGGACUUUGUUAGGAAGUGAACCUCCUGGAAUGGAACUUGAGAAUACCAUGAAAGG
This is a long non-coding RNA of Erinaceus europaeus (western European hedgehog), 356 nucleotides long. RefSeq lists it as uncharacterized. The record is from RefSeq and is a predicted model, not a curated record. Lineage: Eukaryota; Metazoa; Chordata; Mammalia; Eulipotyphla; Erinaceidae. The transcript has 3 exons.